CCAGACCGCCAGCUAAGGUCCCAAAGUCAUGGUUAAGUGGGAAACGAUGUGGGAAGGCCCAGACAGCCAGGAUGUUGGCUUAGAAGCAGCCAUCAUUUAAAGAAAGCGUAAUAGCUCACUGGUCGAGUCGGCCUGCGCGGAAGAUGUAACGGGGCUAAACCAUGCACCGAAGCUGCGGCAGCGACACUAUGUGUUGUUGGGUAGGGGAGCGUUCUGUAAGCCUGUGAAGGUGGCCUGUGAGGGUUGCUGGAGGUAUCAGAAGUGCGAAUGCUGACAUAAGUAACGAUAAAGCGGGUGAAAAGCCCGCUCGCCGGAAGACCAAGGGUUCCUGUCCAACGUUAAUCGGGGCAGGGUGAGUCGACCCCUAAGGCGAGGCCGAAAGGCGUAGUCGAUGGGAAACAGGUUAAUAUUCCUGUACUUGGUGUUACUGCGAAGGGG
RNAcentral lists this ribosomal RNA (438 nucleotides) under Escherichia coli. RNAcentral's name for it is "partial 23S ribosomal RNA". It matches the Rfam family "Bacterial large subunit ribosomal RNA", at positions 1027 to 1469 of the family's 2925-position model. The record is from RNAcentral. Lineage: Bacteria; Pseudomonadati; Pseudomonadota; Gammaproteobacteria; Enterobacterales; Enterobacteriaceae.